GGCUCUGUAGCUCAGUUGGGUAGAGCACUCGGUUGAAGCCCGAGGUGUCGGGGGUUCAAUUCCCUCCGGAGCCA
This 74-nucleotide transfer RNA is filed under the name marine sediment metagenome. RNAcentral's name for it is "tRNA-Phe". It matches the Rfam family "tRNA". Rfam says of the family: Transfer RNA (tRNA) molecules are approximately 80 nucleotides in length. Their secondary structure includes four short double-helical elements and three loops (D, anti-codon, and T loops). Further hydrogen bonds mediate the characteristic L-shaped molecular structure. tRNAs have two regions of fundamental functional importance: the anti-codon, which is responsible for specific mRNA codon recognition, and the 3' end, to which the tRNAs corresponding amino acid is attached (by aminoacyl-tRNA synthetases). tRNAs cope with the degeneracy of the genetic code in two manners: having more than one tRNA (with a specific anti-codon) for a particular amino acid; and 'wobble' base-pairing, i.e. permitting non-standard base-pairing at the 3rd anti-codon position. The record is from RNAcentral.